Molecule: small RNA, 48 nt
Filed under: Actinoplanes campanulatus
Lineage: Bacteria; Bacillati; Actinomycetota; Actinomycetes; Micromonosporales; Micromonosporaceae
Source: RNAcentral
GCUGCUGGCGGUGGCGCACCUGGCCGCCAGGCCGGGAUCAGCGGCGGC